Molecule: ribosomal RNA, 543 nt
Filed under: uncultured bacterium
Lineage: Bacteria
Description: bacterial SSU rRNA
Rfam family: Bacterial small subunit ribosomal RNA
Source: RNAcentral
UAGAUAACGUGCCUCUUAGUCUGGGAUAGCCAUUGGAAACGAUGAUUAAUACUAGAUACUCCUUCUUAUUAUAAUUUGAGUUGGGAAAGUUUUUCGCUAAGAGAUCGGUCUAUACCCCAUCAGCUUGUUGGUAGUGUAAGAGACUACCAAGGCAAUGACGGGUAGCGGGUUUGAGAGGAUGAUCCGCCACACUGGUACUGAGACACGGACCAGACUCCUACGGGAGGCAGCAGUGAGGAAUAUUGCACAAUGGAGGAAACUCUGAUGCAGCAACGCCGCGUGGAGGAUGACGCAUUUCGGUGUGUAAACUCCUUUUAUAUGUCAAGAAAAUGACGGUAGCAUAUGAAUAAGCACCGGCUAACUCCGUGCCAGCAGCCGCGGUAAUACGGAGGGUGCAAGCGUUAUUCGGAAUCACUGGGCGUAAAGGACGCGUAGGCGGGAUAGUAAGUCUGAUGUGAAAUCCUAUGGCUCAACCAUAGAACUGCAUUGGAAACUACUGACCUAGAGUAUGGGAGGGGGAGAUGGAAUUAGUGGUGUAGGGGU